Molecule: ribosomal RNA, 121 nt
Filed under: uncultured bacterium
Lineage: Bacteria
Description: partial 16S ribosomal RNA
Rfam family: Bacterial small subunit ribosomal RNA
Source: RNAcentral
UACACACCGCCCGUCACACCACGGGAGUCGAUUGGUCCCGAAGUGCGUGAGCUAACCCUUGUGGGAGGCAGCGUCCUAAGGAAUGGUCGGUGACUGGGGUGAAGUCGUAACAAGGGUACCC